This 292-nucleotide ribosomal RNA is filed under the name uncultured Rhodocyclaceae bacterium. Its description in RNAcentral is "partial 16S ribosomal RNA". It matches the Rfam family "Bacterial small subunit ribosomal RNA", at positions 1089 to 1382 of the family's 1533-position model. The record is from RNAcentral. Lineage: Bacteria; Pseudomonadati; Pseudomonadota; Betaproteobacteria; Rhodocyclales; Rhodocyclaceae.
GCAACGAGCGCAACCCUUGUCAUUAGUUGCCAUCAUUUAGUUGGGCACUCUAAUGAGACUGCCGGUGACAAACCGGAGGAAGGUGGGGAUGACGUCAAGUCCUCAUGGCCCUUAUGGGUAGGGCUUCACACGUCAUACAAUGGUCGGUACAGAGGGUUGCCAAGCCGCGAGGUGGAGCCAAUCCCUUAAAGCCGAUCGUAGUCCGGAUCGCAGUCUGCAACUCGACUGCGUGAAGUCGGAAUCGCUAGUAAUCGUGGAUCAGCAUGUCACGGUGAAUACGUUCCCGGGUCUU